Molecule: ribosomal RNA, 560 nt
Filed under: uncultured bacterium
Lineage: Bacteria
Description: bacterial SSU rRNA
Rfam family: Bacterial small subunit ribosomal RNA
Source: RNAcentral
AUUGAACGCUAGCGGGAUGCUUUACACAUGCAAGUCGGACGGCAGCGCGAGGUAAGCUUGCUUACCUUGGCGGCGAGUGGCGAACGGGUGAGUAAUGUAUCGGAACGUGCCCAGUAGCGGGGGAUAACCACUCGAAAGAGUGGCUAAUACCGCAUACGCCCUACGGGGGAAAGCGGGGGACCUUUCGGGGCCUCGCACUAUUGGAGCGGCCGAUAUCGCAUUAGCUAGUUGGUGAGGUAACGGCUCACCAAGGCGACGAUGCGUAGCCCGACCUGAGAGGGUGAUCGGCCACACUGGGACUGAGACACGGCCCAGACUCCUACGGGAGGCGGCAGUAGGGAAUCUUCCGCAAUGGACGAAAGUCUGACGGAGCAACGCCGCGUGAGCGAUGAAAGCCUUCGGGUCGUAAAGCUCUGUUGUUAGGGAAGAACAAGUAUGAGUUAACUGCUCAUACCGUGGACGGUACCUAACGAGAAAGCCACGCUAACUACGUGCCAGCAGCCGCGGUAAUACGUAAGUGGCAAGCGNUGUCCGGAUUUAUUGGGCGUAAAGCGCGCGCA